Molecule: RNA transcript, 3425 nt
Organism: Capsicum annuum
Lineage: Eukaryota; Viridiplantae; Streptophyta; Magnoliopsida; Solanales; Solanaceae
Exons: 12
Source: RefSeq, a predicted model, not a curated record
UUCCCAAAACACAAAAUGACAAUCGGCUUUCUCCCUUCUCUCCUUCACCUCUCUCUUUCACACACCCAAAAUUGAAGAACUUUAAACCUUGCCCUGUCGUGGCUCAGUCGCUAGGGCCGAGAAUCUCCUAUUGUACAUCGUCCAGCUGGUGAAACCAAAACAAUCAGCAAAAAUAGAUCCAAAAUGGUGCUACGGCCCAUCAAUGGCUUUGAAACAUAAUAUUUGGAGGAGAUUUUUUUAUUUGAUAUUCAAAUUUCAUCCUUCCUCUUUCACAUUUUCCAUUUUAAGUUUUCAAAUCCGGAUUUUCAAGUUUGGAUUUGCACCUAUAAAUGGAGUUAUCGCUAUUUCCGUGAGGGGCAGGUUGAUAAAUUGGAGUGAGUGCAAGAUAAAGAGCAAAAAUUUGAAGGGUUUAGGUUCGCAGAAGGCAGACAGAGGUCUAAAGGAGUAGGAGAGGUUAAAAUGAAAAAAACCUAGAGAACAAGGUCUAGAAGUGGAAAAUAAAGUUUGUUUGAAGACAAAAGGAAGACAAAAAAGGGGGAAAAUAGAGUAAAAUAAGAGUGAAAAUAAGGUUGAAAGUGUGAAAAACUAGUGAAAAAUGGUUGGGAAAUUGAAAAAAAGAGUAAUUGUGAAGAUUCAGGAGAAGGAAGACGUUAGCGAAUACUCUUGAAAAUCCAUCAUCUAUGUUACAAAUUUUUUAUCUUUCUUCUCCAAUUUUGAUCUAAGUUUAAGUUUUCGGGUUUGAGUCCAUCGCAGGAAAAUACUUUGACGUCGGAGCCCUCGUUUGCUGCUCAUAACAAGUUAGAGUUCCAAUAGAACUCUCUUUGAUCCAAAUAUCGGGUCAACCGCUACUAGGAUCCCAGGGUCUUGGAGUCGUGAAAAAAUAGAAGCUCGAGCUCCAUUAGGAGCCUGUUGACGAAAUCUGGUAGAUCGAAAGAGAUUAGGUCGAAGUUUCGCAACGACGAAGUGAAGAUGAAGGCCUUCUCCAAAGGAGCAAAAAACUAAAAAACGGUACGAGGAGAAAAGGAAAUCUAAAGAAAUUAAAGACGAUGUGGACAAAUCUUAUGAUGAAUAUGAAGAAGAAAGUGAGAAAGAGAUCUGGCUAGAAGUUUGGACAACCGGCUGAAAGUUGGGGGCAAAUUUAUCUGAUUCAGGGAAUGUCACUGGCUAUUCAAGUGUGGCUAUAUAAGUGUUGUUCAAAUAUCCCACCAAAGAUUGCAUUGAAGGUUGAGAAUUGGAUUCCUCGAUUAUUAAAUUGGAAGACGAUUGCACCUCGUCUACGGUAUGAGUUUUUGAUGAAUGCUAUGUUCAAGGACAAUGACAAGGUUGUAUUUAAGAACAUAGUGCCAACUGAAAUGGAACUGGCAAAGUUUGAAAUACCACAGAAGAAUGUAACUGAAGAUGAACGUUCAGUUGAUUCUGACGAUGACUUCCAGGAUCCACCACCAAAGAAGAUCAACAAACGUUCAAAGAAGAAACAGAAGAUGGAUUCAUCAAUCCUAGUAGCGAAGAAACCUUCAGGGAAAAAGCAAGUCAAUAUUGUUGACGCGCAUACCCAAACAAGGACUCCACCUCAUCGUGCUGCCAAGGCUGCUGUAAUGAAGACACCAGUAUUCAAGCCAAUUCCAACACAACAGGCUUCUUCUUCAAAAAAGAAGGAAGGAAAGCAAACAACUAGGAUUAUUUUUCCUCAGGUACAGUCAAAGGCAGAUAGUCAUGUAGCAGAAGUUGCUCUGUCAAAGCAUGAGAGACAUGUUAAGAAAGAAACAUUUAUUUCCAAGAAAGUUUUUGAUGCAUUCCGCGAAGAGGUUCGUCAAGAGUUUAAAGAAGUUCGUGAAGAGUUUACUCGAAUUCGUCAAUUAGUAAAGAAAAAGUUUAAAAAAAUGGUCAAAGUAAUUGAACAUGGCAAGCAACAACGUGAAGAUACAGAGGUUGAAGCACAACAGAUGGAUUAUGCUGGCGUCGAAACAUCACCACAACAAUUCAGUCCUACUGUUGAUCAGAAUUUGGAUGAGAAUCAGGAUGGUACAAAGGAGUGUACUGAUUUGCAUCCAGAUAAAACAAACAUUGAAAUUGAUUCUCAACAUUUAAUCCCUGAUGAGCUUCUCCAAAGUAUAAAUUUGGAUUAUAAUCUUUCUGAGAAGAUUGUUCAUCACGAUGAUCGAAUCACUGAUGAGAAAUUGGAUGAUACAAAAUUGUCUGAUUCGCAGUUUACAAUCCCAGAUGAGUUGUUACCAAGUCUUAAUGCAUACUAAAGAGAAAGCAUCACGGCACAUCCAUUGGCAACUUCUGAAGAAGAACAAAUUGAUGAACAUUUUAAUGAUAAAAAGUUCGAAUCUGUUGUUCAAGAUCAUUGUCAGGAAAACAAAGAGAACGUUGGAUCGAGCUUUAAAGCAGAUAUACAUGGAGAGGUUGAUCUUGGUACGAAGGAGUAGAUUGUGACAACUCUUAAAAUAUAAGAAUUAACCACUGAUGAACAAAGGGAUGAAACAGUUUUGCCUGAUUCACAAGACACAAUCCCUGAUGACUUGCUUCCUAGUUUGAAUGUAUACAGUAGUAAAAGCAUCAUUGUUCAUCCCUCUGCUAAUCGUGAACUUCAAACUCCUAUUCCUAAGUUAAGGAUUAGGCGAUCAUCCAAAUUCAAAGAGUCACCUUACACGAUGAAAUUUGGCUCAGCUGUCGAGAGCUCGGAAGGACACAUACAUAUAUUCCCACAGAAACAUCCAUUUGUUUAUCAGCCGAUUGAUGGAAUUGUGGAUACGAAGAUUGUCAACAAGUUCAUGGAUUGAAUUUCUGAAGACCUUCUCAAAGUUCAUGCUAAAAGCAUAUUGAUGUUUGCUUCUACUACUUGAGGAAGAAGUCGAAGUAUGACCCCAACAGGUCUUACAAAUUCAGCACGGUAGAUUGCAACUUUAUGAAUAUAAUUAGAUCUGUUCAUGAUGUUUAUUCUACGGAUGCUGAAAAUCUUACUGCGGGAGGACAUGUGGCACAUCUUAAUGAAUACAUAAAUGGAUUCCGUAUGCAUACUGUUGUGCCAUGGCAUACAGUGGAAGACAUUUAUAUUCCAGUAAAUAUAAAGGAAAAAUAUCAUUGGGUGCUAGCAAUUUUAUCUUUCUCAGAGAGGUGCAUAUUCCUAUAUGAUUUAUAUGAAUCAUCUGGUCAUUAUUCGACUGUUCUUGAUGUCAUUGAGAAAUUAGUUGCGAUUAUCCUAUUGUGUCUCGAACAUUGUGAUUUCUACGUUAAGAAAGGAAUUCAUCUUGAAAAUCAUCCAAGAUACAAAGACAAAGACUCCUCAGAUAUAUUUGAUGUGUUAUUUCAAGAGAGUUUGCCUCAACAACCGAGCGGAAGCUUGUAAGUUAUUUAAUUUACAUAUAACAAAAUUGUAUGUUUGUAAAAUAUAUAUUAAAGGACAUAUGCGUUCCUUUUUA